Long non-coding RNA from Felis catus (domestic cat), 1572 nucleotides. RefSeq lists it as uncharacterized. Lineage: Eukaryota; Metazoa; Chordata; Mammalia; Carnivora; Felidae. The record is from RefSeq and is a predicted model, not a curated record. The transcript has 3 exons.
CUUAACCAACUGAGCUACCCAGGUGCCCCUUGUGUUUAUAUUUAUAUCUACCUACCUAUCUACUUAUACCAUAUUAGAUAUUACAAUUGAAAAAAUAUUUAAAAUAUUGAUUAUUUUAUGAUAAACCAAUAUGUAUGAGUCUAAAUGAAAUACUUUUAUUAAAAAUAACUGUAUUUCCCAGAAAAAAAACCUGAGAAGAAUGGCAUUCCUUUACAUUUUUGCAAAUUUCUUUAAUACCUAGCUUAAUAGAAGACAGCUGGAUUUUCCUAUCUGCUUCUGAAUUUGAUCCAUUGAGAUAUCCUAUGCCAUGUAAUUAUUGGAAAACUCUACCGUUGUGAGAGAGUGAGAGUGAAAAAGGCAAAUAACAUCUUAGUCUUACUAUGAAAAUAGUUUUGGCCCUGCAAGUGUUUCAGGGACUCAGAAGGGUUUCCAGACCACAUCUUAAGAACUGCUGUUCUGAAGUACAGUAUUUCUAUAGAUGUCUGCUAAAAUCUUUGCUGGGUAAGCCCUAGACAACUGGAUGUGAGAAGUAGUUCUAUUGCCAUAAAGUAAUAUGCAGUGCCACUGUUGGUAAAACAAAGUUGUCAAAAAUAUUUAAGUCCUAAUUUUAUAUUUUGAUACAUUCCAUAUGAAAUAUAUAUUUUUAAAUUUCAUACAAUAACAUUUUGAAAGUGAUUCCUACAUUUUAAAAUCAAAUUUUGACAUCCGAUUCAUGUGUGAGCAGAAACUUAUUUCUUAUGGGGCACCUGGGUGGCUCAGUCAGUUAAGUGUCCAACUCUUGAUUUGGGCUCAGGUCAUGAUCUCAUGUGAGUUUGAGCCUUACAUUCAGCUCUGUGCUGAUAGUGUGGAGCCUGCUUAGGAUUCUGUCUCCUUCUCCCUUUGCCCCUCCCCCACUUGCUCUUUGUAUCUUUCUCAAAAAUAAAUAAAAAUAAAACUUAAAAGAAACCUAAUUCUUAUAACCGGGGUAAAUUAAUUUAAUGUGACUUUGUGACUAAUGUGAUUUAUUAGUUAAUCAUUAAUUUGAUUAAUUAAAUUAUUGAUUUACCUUGUAAAUUCAGGCUCAAUCCUAAUUUUAGGCUUAUGCAGUUAUUGCAUUUAGAUCAGUAGUAAGGGUGUCCUGGGCCUAUUGUUCCCAAGGUAUUUUUUUUCUAAAGCUGCAGAGAUCAUAGCUUGGAAAUCGGAAAUUGUUGAUUUGCAAAUUCUAGCAUUUGACCUUUUCAUACUUGCAGGUUUCUUAAGCCUUUCUCAUUAGCCCAUUUGUGUGUAUGAACAAUAGCAGUUAAGCACCCAGGAGCAAGAGACAUUAUCAAAGGAAGUCUUUUCUGUUGUAAUUCAGUUAAAGUUUUCCCUCUAGUCUUACUGAACCAUGGCACUACCUCCCAACACCAGCAAUCACAUCUCCUUGAAGCCUGAAGAGGUUCUGCCUAAGGACAGAGCUCCCCAAAGACUAACAGAGGAAUUGAAAUGGAUAUAUGCAAAUUUUCCUUCAUCUUAUGACUUCAAAACUAUUGUCAACCCAUUAAAACUCUUUUCCUUGUUUUUUUCAUUUAAUAAAACCUAAUUGUAAAGUCA